GUCUCAAUCAGUUGUGUAGGGUUCCCCGCAGGUUACUUUGAUUUUGUGUUCGUUUAAAAAUAUGAUCUGGUCAACAAUUUCAGACGAAAGACUGUUAAACUCUCUAUUUUUUGUUACAAGGAGUGCACAUGAAAAUAUUCCCUCGAAAGGAAAGGACGUUGCUGGUACUACUAUAACAGAUAGUAUCCUCAGGAUAAACAUAGUUAUGUUAUUAAUUUAUUUUAUUGAGUAUUACGAAGGAGAAAUUUCAACAGAACUAAAAUUGAGUGGAAAUGUGAAGAGAACUAUCUCAAGAUGUAUAAAAAGCAA
Molecule: long non-coding RNA, 309 nt
Filed under: Mytilus galloprovincialis (Mediterranean mussel)
Lineage: Eukaryota; Metazoa; Mollusca; Bivalvia; Mytilida; Mytilidae
Source: RNAcentral